UGGGAUGUAGCUCAAUUGAUAGAGCACUUUCGGUCGCUUCCAAAGAGGUUCGGGGUUCAAUUCCUCGCAUCUCCA
Eragrostis curvula (weeping love grass) is the source of this 75-nucleotide non-coding RNA. The record is from the annotation of a GenBank genome assembly. NCBI's taxonomy places the organism in Eukaryota, Viridiplantae, Streptophyta, Magnoliopsida, Poales, Poaceae.